RNAcentral lists this ribosomal RNA (322 nucleotides) under uncultured eukaryote. RNAcentral describes it as "partial 18S ribosomal RNA". It matches the Rfam family "Eukaryotic small subunit ribosomal RNA", at positions 1470 to 1796 of the family's 1831-position model. The record is from RNAcentral.
CCCUUAGAUGUUCUGGGCCGCACGCGUGCUACACUGAGUGGAUCAGCGGGUCAGGUUGCGCGAAAGCGUUUCCUAAUCUUUAAAUCCGCUCGUGAUGGGGAUUGACGGUUGCAAUUUUCUGUCAUGAACGAGGAAUACCUUGUAAGCGCGGGUCAUCAUCCCGCGCUGAAUACGUCCCUGCCCUUUGUACACACCGCCCGUCGCUCCUACCGAUUGAGUGGUCCGGUGAGGCUUUGGGAUCUGAGCGGAAAGAGCGUUUCGCUGUUUCUGCUCGGAAAACUCAGUCGAACCUAAUCAUUUAGAGGAAGGAGAAGUCGUAACA